UACGUAGGGUGCAAGCGUUAAUCGGAAUUACUGGGCGUAAAGCGUGCGUAGGCGGUUGCGCAAGACAGGUGUGAAAUCCCAGGGCUUAACCUUGGAAUUGCACUUGUGACUGUGCGGCUGGAGUGCGGCAGAGGGGGAUGGAAUUCCGCGUGUAGCAGUGAAAUGCGUAGAUAUGCGGAGGAACACCGAUGGCGAAGGCAGUCCCCUGGGCCUGCACUGACGCUCAUGCACGAAAGCGUGGGGAGCAAACAGG
RNAcentral lists this ribosomal RNA (253 nucleotides) under uncultured bacterium. RNAcentral describes it as "partial 16S ribosomal RNA". It matches the Rfam family "Bacterial small subunit ribosomal RNA", at positions 524 to 776 of the family's 1533-position model. The record is from RNAcentral.